This 253-nucleotide ribosomal RNA is filed under the name uncultured bacterium. RNAcentral's name for it is "partial 16S ribosomal RNA". It matches the Rfam family "Bacterial small subunit ribosomal RNA", at positions 524 to 776 of the family's 1533-position model. The record is from RNAcentral.
UACGUAGGGUCCGAGCGUUGUCCGGAAUUACUGGGCGUAAAGAGCUCGUAGGUGGUUUGUCGCGUUGUUCGUGAAAACUCACAGCUUAACUGUGGGCGUGCGGGCGAUACGGGCAGACUGGAGUACUGCAGGGGAGACUGGAAUUCCUGGUGUAGCGGUGGAAUGCGCAGAUAUCAGGAGGAACACCGGUGGCGAAGGCGGGUCUCUGGAACGGUACUGACGCUGAGACGCGAAAGCGUGGGGAGCGAACAGG